GGGGAUGUUCUGGCUUCGACGCUGGUGAUGAAACUCAAUGAUGCAUGUCGAGAGUGUAUGUCCUCUCGUUAAUCAAACAUAUAUUGUUAUAGUCGCAAACGACGAAACUUACGCUCUAGCAGCUUAAACCCUGCU
This 135-nucleotide transfer-messenger RNA is filed under the name Psychrobacter sp. RNAcentral's name for it is "partial transfer-messenger RNA". It matches the Rfam family "transfer-messenger RNA", at positions 1 to 137 of the family's 374-position model. Rfam says of the family: Bacterial tmRNA, also known as 10Sa RNA or SsrA, is named for its dual tRNA and mRNA-like properties. Its role is to liberate the mRNA from a stalled ribosome. The record is from RNAcentral. Lineage: Bacteria; Pseudomonadati; Pseudomonadota; Gammaproteobacteria; Moraxellales; Moraxellaceae.